UUUUAUGAUGAUAGUUUUCAAUUUUUGCCAGCCUAUUGAGAGCAGAAUGUUUCCGCAAGAACCAUUUUUAAGACCACCCCGUGUUUAUUCGCGUCUCCGCUAUUUGGUUUUGAUUUAAGUGCCGUUUUGGCGCUUGUUUCUCUUAAAUCGAAUCUUGUGGGAAUUGGGCGUUUUUUAAUGCAAUGAGUGGCUGGUGUUUUUUUGUCAUAGUUACACUGAGA
Molecule: small nucleolar RNA, 221 nt
Rfam family: Small nucleolar RNA snR63